This 529-nucleotide ribosomal RNA is filed under the name Laimosemion breviceps. Its description in RNAcentral is "partial 16S ribosomal RNA". It matches the Rfam family "Bacterial large subunit ribosomal RNA", at positions 1926 to 2620 of the family's 2925-position model. The record is from RNAcentral. Lineage: Eukaryota; Metazoa; Chordata; Actinopteri; Cyprinodontiformes; Rivulidae.
AACGGCCGCGGUAUCUUGACCGUGUGAAGGUAGCGUAAUCAUUUGUCUUUUAAAUGAAGACCUGUAUGAACGGCAUAACGAGGGCUUAACUGUCUCGCUCUUUCAGUCAAUGAAAUUGAUCUCCCCGUGCAGAAGCGAGGAUGCGCUCAUAAGACGAAAAGACCCUGUGGAGCUUUAGAUAAAACAACAGAUCCUUCUAUAUUAUUUACACCACGGAAACCUGUUCUUAUAUCUUCGGUUGGGGCGACCAAGGAGAAAAACAUAACCUCCACGCGGAAAACACCAAGUUUUCAAGAAAUAAGAGCUACAACUCUAAAUUCCAGAACCUCUGUCCAAAGGAUCCGGCUAUUAAAACCGAUCAACGAACCAAGUUACCCCAGGGAUAACAGCGCAAUCCCCUUCUAGAGCCCGUAUCAACAAGGGGGUUUACGACCUCGAUGUUGGACCAGGACAUCCUAAUGGCGCAGCCGCUAUUAAGGGUUCGUUUGUUCAACGAUUAAAGUCCUACGUGAUCUGAGUUCAGACCGGA